CAGUCGCCGCGGUAAUACGGAGGGAGCUAGCGUUGUUCGGAAUUACUGGGCGUAAAGCGCGCGUAGGCGGUUACUCAAGUCAGAGGUGAAAGCCCGGGGCUCAACCCCGGAACUGCCUUUGAAACUAGGUGACUAGAAUCUUGGAGAGGUCAGUGGAAUUCCGAGUGUAGAGGUGAAAUUCGUAGAUAUUCGGAAGAACACCAGUGGCGAAGGCGACUGACUGGACAAGUAUUGACGCUGAGGUGCGAAAGCGUGGGGAGCAAACAGGAUUAGAUACCCGUGUAGUCCCUGUCUCUUAUAC
RNAcentral lists this ribosomal RNA (301 nucleotides) under uncultured bacterium. RNAcentral's name for it is "partial 16S ribosomal RNA". It matches the Rfam family "Bacterial small subunit ribosomal RNA", at positions 509 to 807 of the family's 1533-position model. The record is from RNAcentral.